Molecule: ribosomal RNA, 253 nt
Filed under: uncultured bacterium
Lineage: Bacteria
Description: partial 16S ribosomal RNA
Rfam family: Bacterial small subunit ribosomal RNA
Source: RNAcentral
UACGGGGGGGGCAAGCGUUGUUCGGAAUUACUGGGCGUAAAGGGCUCGUAGGCGGCCAACUAAGUCGGACGUGAAAUCCCCAGGCUCAACCUGGGAACUGCGUCCGAUACUGGAUGGCUUGAAUUCGGGAGAGGGAUGCGGGAUUCCAGGUGUAGCGGUGAAAUGCGUAGAUAUCUGGAGGAACACCGGUGGCGAAGGCGGCAUCCUGGACCGGUAUUGACGCUGAGGCGCGAAAGCCAGGGGAGCAAACGGG